GUCACUGUCUGACCCCUCUGCCAUUCCUCAUCCACGGCUCGGCAUAUAAGGCGGCCAGAGGACGGCUGCGCACAAACUCCUCAUUUCUGCCGCUUCGCCAUGCGCCUGCUGCCCCUACUCCUUGUGCUCUGCGUGCUGGUCCUCGCGGCUGAAGGAUGGAAGUGUUACCGUCCGCGGCAGACGUGCGGUAUCUUCCGUAACAAGGUGUGCCUACUAUGCAGAUAUGGAAAGCUCUGCUGCCGCGGUGGCGAUACUUUCAGAGAGUGCCAGAGAAAGUGCAAAUAUGGACAUUGCUAUCCGUGCCAUCUCGGCUUCUGCUGUCGCCCCCCUUUCUGUCAAGGCAAGAACUGCAAACAGCGCUAAUCGCUCUGCUGAAGAAAGCAUACCUGCCAUCAGCAAGAGGACAUCUCCAGCGUUCGGAGCGUCAAAGAGGGCACACACCGGCGCACAGUUCGAAUCCAUCUGUUGGCUGAUGCUCAGUAUUUUAACAAUGCGGGAUACGAGAGGCCGUUGACUUCCAAGCGGUGCCAACUGAGACAUUGCCUUUCACCAAAAAUACCGGCGGGCAUCUCGACGGCUGAGUGUACCGUGCAAAGACGUAAAACCGCAACCACAGUCGCAUUUUGAAAAAAAGACUAGCGUCAUGCACGACUGUCAUUCUUGUGACCUAGCAGCUUAUAUCACCCAGUGUAGAUGGCUAACGACGCGCGCGCAGCGACCCGAAAGAACAUGCUAGCAAUCAUGGUCUCGCGGGCUUGGAGGGCGUUAAUCAAACGUGCACGUUAAUUGUUAAUUAAUUGAGCGCCGUUAAUUGAACACAUUGGCCUGUCUGUGCACUGCUGCCGCUGAGGACGAUAGCCGUCGAAUGCCACCUGGCUCAGACAAAUAAAGGAAAUGGGUAACUCUCA
Long non-coding RNA from Pollicipes pollicipes, 908 nucleotides. RefSeq lists it as uncharacterized. The transcript is spliced from 3 exons. The record is from RefSeq and is a predicted model, not a curated record. NCBI's taxonomy places the organism in Eukaryota, Metazoa, Arthropoda, Thecostraca, Pollicipedomorpha, Pollicipedidae.